AUGGCUCAGGAUGAACGCUAGCUACAGGCUUAACACAUGCAAGUCGAGGGGCAUCAGGGAGAAAGCUUGCUUCUUGCUGGCGACCGGCGCACGGGUGAGUAACGCGUAUCCAACCUUCCCCCAGUAGGGCAUAGCCCGGCGAAAGUCGGAUUAAUACCCUAUGUUGUGUCAUGAGGACAUCUGAAUAACACCAAAGAUUUAUCGCUGGGGGAUGGGGAUGCGUCCGAUUAGGUUGUUGGCGGGUAACGGCCCACCAAGCCCGCGAUCGGUAGGGGUUCUGAGAGGAAGGUCCCCCACACUGGUACUGAGACACGGACCAGACUCCUACGGGAGGCAGCAGUGAGGAAUAUUGGUCAAUGGGCGUAAGCCUGAACCAGCCAAAGUAGCGUGCAGGACGACGGCCCUAUGGGUUGUAAACUGCUUUUAUGCGGGGAUAAAGUGACGUACGUGUACGUUUUUGUAGGUACCGCAUGAAUAAGGACCGGCUAAUUCCGUGCCAGCCGCCGC
RNAcentral lists this ribosomal RNA (507 nucleotides) under uncultured bacterium. RNAcentral's name for it is "bacterial SSU rRNA". It matches the Rfam family "Bacterial small subunit ribosomal RNA", at positions 19 to 518 of the family's 1533-position model. The record is from RNAcentral.